UGGGGAAUAUUGGACAAUGGGCGAAAGCCUGAUCCAGCCAUGCCGCGUGUGUGAAGAAGGUCUUCGGAUUGUAAAGCACUUUAAGUUGGGAGGAAGGGCAGUAAGCGAAUACCUUGCUGUUUUGACGUUACCGACAGAAUAAGCACCGGCUAACUCUGUGCCAGCAGCCGCGGUAAUACAGAGGGUGCAAGCGUUAAUCGGAAUUACUGGGCGUAAAGCGCGCGUAGGUGGUUCGUUAAGUUGAAUGUGAAAGCCCCGGGCUCAACCUGGGAACUGCAUCCAAAGCUGGCGAGCUAGAGUAGGGCAGAGGGUGGUGGAAUUUCCUGUGUAGCGGUGAAAUGCGUAGAUAUAGGAAGGAACACCAGUGGCGAAGGCGACCACCUGGGCUCAUACUGACACUGAGGUGCGAAAGCGUGGGGAGCAAGCAGG
This 429-nucleotide ribosomal RNA is filed under the name Pseudomonadota bacterium. RNAcentral's name for it is "Proteobacteria bacterium partial 16S ribosomal RNA". It matches the Rfam family "Bacterial small subunit ribosomal RNA", at positions 355 to 776 of the family's 1533-position model. The record is from RNAcentral. Lineage: Bacteria; Pseudomonadati; Pseudomonadota.